Molecule: ribosomal RNA, 253 nt
Filed under: uncultured bacterium
Lineage: Bacteria
Description: partial 16S ribosomal RNA
Rfam family: Bacterial small subunit ribosomal RNA
Source: RNAcentral
UACGUAGGGCGCAAGCGUUGUCCGGAAUUAUUGGGCGUAAAGAGCUCGUAGGCGGUUUGUCGCGUCUGCUGUGAAAACUCGAGGCUCAACCUCGGGCUUGCAGUGGGUACGGGCAGACUAGAGUGCGGUAGGGGAGACUGGAAUUCCUGGUGUAGCGGUGAAAUGCGUAGAUAUCAGGAGGAACACCGGUGGCGAAGGCGGCUCUCUGGACGGAUACUGACGCUGAGGCGCGAAAGCGUGGGGAUCAAACAGG